Molecule: ribosomal RNA, 433 nt
Filed under: uncultured bacterium
Lineage: Bacteria
Description: partial 16S ribosomal RNA
Rfam family: Bacterial small subunit ribosomal RNA
Source: RNAcentral
AGCGAACGCUGGCGGCAGGCCUAACACAUGCAAGUCGAACGAACCCUUCGGAGUUAGUGGCGGACGGGUGAGUAACACGUGGGAACGUGCCUUUUGGUUCGGAAUAACUCAGGGAAACUUGUGCUAAUACCGAAUGUGCCCUUCGGGGGAAAGAUUUAUCGCCAUUAGAGCGGCCCGCGUCUGAUUAGCUAGUUGGUGAGGUAACGGCUCACCAAGGCGACGAUCAGUAGCUGGUCUGAGAGGAUGACAAGCCACACUGGGACUGAGACACGGCCCAGACUCCUACGGGAGGCAGCAGUGGGUAAUCUUGCGCAAUGGGCGAAGGCCUGACGCAGCCAUGCCGCGUGAAUGAUGAAGGUCUUAGGAUUGUAAAAUUCUUUCACCGGGGACGAUAAUGACGGUACCCGGAGAAGAAGCCCCGGCUAACUUCGUG